This 1325-nucleotide ribosomal RNA is filed under the name uncultured bacterium. RNAcentral's name for it is "bacterial SSU rRNA". It matches the Rfam family "Bacterial small subunit ribosomal RNA", at positions 27 to 1381 of the family's 1533-position model. The record is from RNAcentral.
GGACGAACGCUGGCGGCGUGCCUAACACAUGCAAGUCGAACGGAGAUAUGAUUUCGGUUGUAUCUUAGUGGCGAACGGGUGAGUAACGCGUGAGCAACCUGACCUUCAGAGGGGGAUAACACCUGGAAACAAGUGCUAAUACCGCAUAAGACCACGACCCGACAUCGGGAUGAGGUCAAAGGAGCAAUCCGCUGAGGGAGGGGCUCGCGUCCCAUUAGAUAGAUGGCGGGGUAACGGCCCACCAUGUCGACGAUGGGUAGCCGAGCUGAGAGGCUGAUCGGCCACACUGGAACUGAGACACGGUCCAGACUCCUACGGGAGGCAGCAGUGGGGAAUAUUAGAAAUGGACGAAAGUCUGAUCUAGCAACACCGCGUGUGCGAAGAAGGCCUUCGGGUCGUAAAGCACUUUUUGGAAGGAAUAGGAAGGAAUGUACUUCCAGAAUAAGUCUCGGCUAACUACGUGCCAGCAGCCGCGGUAACACGUAGGAGGCAAACGUUAUCCGGAUUUACUGGGCGUAAAGCGCGUGUAGGUGGUUCUGUAAGUAGGGCGUGAAAGCUCCCGGCUCAACUGGGAGAGGCCGUUCUAAACUACAGAACUAGAGGAUGGUAGAGGGAGGUGGAAUUCCAGGUGUAGCGGUGGAAUGCGCAGAUAUCUGGAGGAACACCAGUGGCGAAGGCGGCCUCCUGGACCAUUCCUGACACUCAGACGCGAAAGCUAGGGUAGCAAACGGGAUUAGAGACCCCGGUAGUCCUAGCCCUAAACGAUGUAGACUAGGCGUCGGUAGUUUAAUCACCAUCGGUGUCCAAGCUAACGCGAUAAGUCUACCGCCUGGGGACUACGGCCGCAAGGUUAAAACUCAAAGGAAUUGACGGGUCCCCGCACAAGCAGCGGAGCGUGUGGUUUAAUUCGUUGCUACACGAAGAACCUUACCUGGGUUUGACAUAGAGGUAGUAGGGAAGCGAAAGCGGACCGACCCUUCGGGGAGCCUCUACAGGUGUUGCAUGGCUGUCGUCAGCUCGUGUCGUGAGAUGUUCGGUUAAGUCCGCUAACGAGCGCAACCCUCGCUGUGUGUUACAAGUGUCACACGGUACUGCCGAUAUUAAGUCGGAGGAAGGUGGGGAUGACGUCAAGUCAGCAUGACCUUUAUAUCCAGGGCUACACACACGCUACAAUGGCCAGUACAAUGGGUUGCCAAGCCGCGAGGCGGAGCCAAUCCUAAAAAGCUGACCUCAGUUCAGAUUGCAGUCUGCAACUCGACUGCAUGAAGUUGGAGUUGCUAGUAACCGCAGGUCAGCAAUACUGCGGUGAAUACGUUCCCGGGGAU